AGAGAUUCGUAUGACUGGCGGAAAAUGGGAGCACCCAUAGGGAGUACGAAUAAUAUGAUAAGCCGACCGCCUGGGCAACCACA
RNAcentral lists this non-coding RNA (83 nucleotides) under Anaerosporobacter mobilis. RNAcentral describes it as "ZTP sequence". It matches the Rfam family "ZMP/ZTP riboswitch aptamer (pfl RNA motif)". Rfam says of the family: Previously known as pfl RNA. ZMP is also known as AICAR. The record is from RNAcentral. RNAcentral also lists the same sequence under 1 other name. Lineage: Bacteria; Bacillati; Bacillota; Clostridia; Lachnospirales; Lachnospiraceae.